AAGUGUAGAUGGAAUACUUCAGACAGAUACGUUACUGACGCUUCGUGGGAUGCAUUUAUUGCAAGAUGCUGUGCAGUGAGCUGUUCAUUGAUGUAAUGUUCCUGGUUUGCAAGUUUGCUCCACAAAAGAAAGUGAUCCAGGAAAUAUAUGAAAAUGAGGAUGUUCAUGAUUCAAUGUCCAAAACUAAAGCCUUCAGGAAGACAUUGAAAACACUUCUGGAGACUUUAAGAAACUGCCUUUGAGAAGAUAUCUGGCAAGGCGACCUACAGUAUGGCCUGGUUUAAAGGGAGCACGUUCAAACUACAGCAGUUUAAUGAUGCAUCUACCUUUUCCUGUGAAAUCUUCCUUUGUGUUGUACAUGCAUUUAAUUCACUGGAUUUGUUUUUUAUUGUUUAAAAAGAGAAAGUAGUCAUACUUAUACUUGAUUAUUUUAUUGUAAUAUUGGACCCAUAAACUGAUUAUUUUCAAUCAACAUUUAAUUUUGUUCUUACACAAACAAUCUGUACAACAGACAUUGAAUGAAACAACAUUUACAGCACAGUAAAAAAAAAAAAAAAACACAGGCUUAAUUUCCAUAAUUUAAUAGCCUAUGAGAACAUUAAGUGGUUGCACAUAGAUUGACACCGGGAACGUUUAAAAAUCACAUUUAUGUGUCACCAAGUCAACUCAGGACUUCUCUCACAAUUCAGAUGGCAAUUGUUAUUCAUAUAGACAUAUGUAAAAAAUUAUUUACAUGGCACCUCAGUGAUAACUCAUAUAUUUGAUGAUUUAUUCACAGUGGAGAAGAAAGAUGUGAGAUCAUUAUGAACCUAGGAAUGCACUGCUGACAUGGCCAGUUGCAUAGUCGUCUGCUCUAAAUAAAAUGCCAUACUCUUGGAAUAAAAGAUUUAAAUGUAAUACUAUACUAUUUAUUAUUUAUUUAAAUCUCUGGUUUAAAAAUAGGAAAAUAGACCCAAUAUAGCUGAAAUGGUUCUUAAUUUUUAUCUCUCAAAAUGAUGGGUGUCAUUAAAAAUGUGGAGAUUAGCAUUAAUAAGUAAAUGCAACUUCUUAUUUACAUGAGGUAAACAAAGCUGCUUGGUUCGCAUUUUCAAGUACGUAACUGUAGGCCUAUACAUAUUUAAAAAUGGUAUUGUAUACCUGUUACUGCCAUAAUAAUUACCCAUUUCAAAUAUUUACAUGCUUUUCUGGUCUUUUUUGUUCUUAACAAGCAUCCAAUCACUGUGAUGGAGCAGUUCUGAAAUAGUAUUCUUGUAAACAUUCUAGCAUU
Molecule: long non-coding RNA, 1267 nt
Organism: Cyprinus carpio (common carp)
Lineage: Eukaryota; Metazoa; Chordata; Actinopteri; Cypriniformes; Cyprinidae
Exons: 3
Source: RefSeq, a predicted model, not a curated record